GACGAACGCUGGCGGCGUGCUUAACACAUGCAAGUCGAACGGAAAGGCCCUGCUUUUGUGGGGUGCUCGAGUGGCGAACGGGUGUGUAACACGCGAGUAACCUGCCCUUGACUUUGGGAUAACUUCAGGAAACUGGGGCUAAUACCGGAUAGGAGCUCCUGCUGCAUGGUGGGGGUUGGAUAGUUUCGGCGGUUGGGGAUGGACUCGCGGCUUAUCAGCUUGUUGGUGGGGUAGUGGCUUACCAAGGCUUUGACGGGUAGCCGGCCUGAGAGGGUGACCGGCGACAUGGGGACUGAGGGACGGCCCAGACUCCUACGGGAGGCAGCAGUGGGGAAUAUUGCGCAAUGAGCGGAAGCCUGUGGCAGCAGCGCCGCGUGCGGGAUGACGGCUUUCGGGGUAUGAACCGCUGUCGCCGGUGACGAGGCGUGAGUGACGGUAAUGGGUAAAGAAGCACCGGCUAACUACGUG
Molecule: ribosomal RNA, 468 nt
Filed under: uncultured bacterium
Lineage: Bacteria
Description: partial 16S ribosomal RNA
Rfam family: Bacterial small subunit ribosomal RNA
Source: RNAcentral